UUGGAAGCAGCCAUUCAUUUAAAGAGUGCGUAACAGCUCACUAGUCGAGGAGUUUUGCAUGGAUAAUAAUCGGGCAUAAGCCCUUUACCGAAGCUGUGGAUGUCGUAAGACAUGGUAGGGGAGCAUUCCGGCGGCGACGAAGGCCGUCCUCGAGGACGACUGGAGCUUUCGGAAAAGCAAAUGUAGGUAUAAGUAACGAUAAAGGGGGCGUGAAACCCCCUCGCCAUAAGACUAAGGAUUCCUGAUCAACGCUAAUCGGAUCAGGGUAAGUCGGGCCCUAAGGCGCAGCCGAACGGCGUAGCCGAUGGAAGAAACGGUAAAGAUUCCGUUACUGGAUAUAGGAGCGAUGUGGAGACGGAGAAGUGACACACCCGCCUGCCGACGGAAGCGCAGGUUAAAGGAAGUAGGUAAACGCCGGGUAGGCAAAUCCGCCUGGCGUGCCGAAGCUGACAGUAUCGAGAGCCCCCGGGCAAUCGAAUAGCGGUGGUAAUCAGGCUCCCAAGAAAAUCCGCUAAGCAAAUUCUAUAUCCACCCGUACCCCAAACGGACACACGUAGUCGGGUAGAAUAUACCAAGGCGCUCGAAAGACUCACGGUUAAGGAACUAGGCAAAUUGACCCUGUAACCUCGGGAAAAAGGGUCCCCAGUAAGAUGGGGCGCAGAGAAUAGGUCCAGGCAACUGUUUAACAAAAACACAGGGCUGUGCAAAAUUGAAAGAUGAAGUAUACAGCCUGACACCUGCCCGGUGCUGGAAGGUUAAGAGGAGAUGUCAUCGCAAGAGAAGCAUUGAAUUGAAGCCCCAGUAAACGGCGGCCGUAACUAUAACGGUCCUAAGGUAGCGAAAUUCCUUGUCGGGUAAGUUCCGACCUGCACGAAUGGUGUAAUGAUCUGGACGCUGUCUCAACCGUGAGCUCAGUGAAAUUGUAGUAUCGGUGAAGAUGCCGAUUACCCGCGAUGGGACGAAAAGACCCCGUGAACCUUUACUAUAGCUUAACAUUGAAUUUGGGUAAUUGAUGUGUAGGAUAGGCCGGAGGCUUCGAAGCAGGUACGCCAGUAUUUGUGGAGCCGCUGUUGAAAUACGGCCCUUUGAUUAUUUGAGUUCUAACCCGUUGUUGCGGGGACACUGUUUGGUGGGUAGUUUGACUGGGGUGGUCGCCUCCAAAAGUGUAACGGAGGCUUCUAAAGGUGCCCUCACGACGAUUGGUAACCGUCGGCAGAGUG
Molecule: ribosomal RNA, 1220 nt
Filed under: human gut metagenome
Description: bacterial LSU rRNA
Rfam family: Bacterial large subunit ribosomal RNA
Source: RNAcentral